UGCAGUCGAGCGACAGAGAAGGAGCUUGCUCCUUCGACGUUAGCGGCGGACGGGUGAGUAACACGUGGGCAACCUACCUUAUAGUUUGGGAUAACUCCGGGAAACCGGGGCUAAUACCGAAUAAUCUGUUUCACCUCAUGGUGAAACACUGAAAGACGGCAUCUCGCUGUCGCUAUAGGAUGGGCCCGCGGCGCAUUAGCUAGUUGGUGAGGUAACGGCUCACCAAGGCGACGAUGCGUAGCCGACCUGAGAGGGUGAUCGGCCACACUGGGACUGAGACACGGCCCAGACUCCUACGGGAGGCAGCAGUAGGGAAUCUUCCACAAUGGGCGAAAGCCUGAUGGAGCAACGCCGCGUGAGUGAAGAAGGAUUUCGGUUCGUAAAACUCUGUUGUAAGGGAAGAACAAGUACAGUAGUAACUGGCUGUACCUUGACGGUACCUUAUUAGAAAGCCACGGCUAACUACGUGCCAGCAGCCGCGGUAAUACGUAGGUGGCAAGCGUUGUCCGGAAUUAUUGGGCGUAAAGCGCGCGCAGGUGGUUUCUUAAGUCUGAUGUGAAAGCCCACGGCUCAACCGUGGAGGGUCAUUGGAAACUGGGAGACUUGAGUGCAGAAGAGGAUAGUGGAAUUCCAAGUGUAGCGGUGAAAUGCGUAGAGAUUUGGAGGAACACCAGUGGCGAAGGCGACUAUCUGGUCUGUAACUGACACUGAGGCGCGAAAGCGUGGGG
RNAcentral lists this ribosomal RNA (728 nucleotides) under Lysinibacillus fusiformis. Its description in RNAcentral is "bacterial SSU rRNA". It matches the Rfam family "Bacterial small subunit ribosomal RNA", at positions 56 to 766 of the family's 1533-position model. Lineage: Bacteria; Bacillati; Bacillota; Bacilli; Caryophanales; Bacillaceae. The record is from RNAcentral.